Molecule: transfer RNA, 73 nt
Filed under: Capra hircus (goat)
Lineage: Eukaryota; Metazoa; Chordata; Mammalia; Artiodactyla; Bovidae
Also listed under: 1 other name
Rfam family: tRNA
About the family: Transfer RNA (tRNA) molecules are approximately 80 nucleotides in length. Their secondary structure includes four short double-helical elements and three loops (D, anti-codon, and T loops).
Source: Rfam by way of RNAcentral
UCCCUGGCAGUCCAGUGGUUAAGAGUCUGAGUUCCCAAUUCAGGGGGUCCAGGUUCGAUUCCUGAUCAGGGUA